This 254-nucleotide ribosomal RNA is filed under the name uncultured bacterium. RNAcentral's name for it is "partial 16S ribosomal RNA". It matches the Rfam family "Bacterial small subunit ribosomal RNA", at positions 524 to 776 of the family's 1533-position model. The record is from RNAcentral.
UACGUAGGGGGCUAGCGUUGUCCGGAUUUAUUGGGCGUAAAGAGCGUGUAGGCGGCCAGGUAGGUCUGGUGUGAAAACUCGAGGCUUAACCUCGAGAUGUCAUCGGAAACCAUCUGGCUAGAGUCCGGAAGAGGAGAGUGGGAAUUCCUGGUGUAGCGGUGAAAUGCGCAGAUAUCAGGAAGAACACCAAUGGCGAAAGCAGCUCUCUGGGACGGUACUGACGCUGAGACGCGAAAGCGUGGGGAGCGAACAGG